Molecule: small RNA, 126 nt
Filed under: Marmota monax (woodchuck)
Lineage: Eukaryota; Metazoa; Chordata; Mammalia; Rodentia; Sciuridae
Source: RNAcentral
GCUGGGCAUGGUGGCUCAUGCCUGUAAUCCCAGCAGCUGGGAAGCUGAGGCAGGAGGACUGUGAGUUCAAAGCCAGCCUCAGCCACUUAGUGAGGCCCUAAGCAACUUAAUGAGACCCUGUCUCAA